RNAcentral lists this ribosomal RNA (484 nucleotides) under Pseudomonas sp. CL1.62. RNAcentral describes it as "bacterial SSU rRNA". It matches the Rfam family "Bacterial small subunit ribosomal RNA", at positions 16 to 495 of the family's 1533-position model. Lineage: Bacteria; Pseudomonadati; Pseudomonadota; Gammaproteobacteria; Pseudomonadales; Pseudomonadaceae. The record is from RNAcentral.
CCCAUGGCUCAGAUUGAACGCUGGCGGCAGGCCUAACACAUGCAAGUCGAGCGGUAGAGAGAAGCUUGCUUCUCUUGAGAGCGGCGGACGGGUGAGUAAUGCCUAGGAAUCUGCCUGGUAGUGGGGGAUAACGUUCGGAAACGGACGCUAAUACCGCAUACGUCCUACGGGAGAAAGCAGGGGACCUUCGGGCCUUGCGCUAUCAGAUGAGCCUAGGUCGGAUUAGCUAGUUGGUGGGGUAAUGGCUCACCAAGGCGACGAUCCGUAACUGGUCUGAGAGGAUGAUCAGUCACACUGGAACUGAGACACGGUCCAGACUCCUACGGGAGGCAGCAGUGGGGAAUAUUGGACAAUGGGCGAAAGCCUGAUCCAGCCAUGCCGCGUGUGUGAAGAAGGUCUUCGGAUUGUAAAGCACUUUAAGUUGGGAGGAAGGGCAGUUACCUAAUACGUGAUUGUUUUGACGUUACCGACAGAAUAAGCACCG